RNAcentral lists this ribosomal RNA (253 nucleotides) under uncultured bacterium. Its description in RNAcentral is "partial 16S ribosomal RNA". It matches the Rfam family "Bacterial small subunit ribosomal RNA", at positions 524 to 776 of the family's 1533-position model. The record is from RNAcentral.
UACAGAGGGUGCAAGCGUUGUUCGGAAUUAUUGGGCGUAAAGCGCGUGUAGGCGGCUUUGCAAGUCGGGUGUGAAAGCCCUCAGCUCAACUGAGGAAGUGCGCCCGAAACUGCAGAGCUUGAGUACCGGAGAGGAUGGCGGAAUUCCCCAAGUAGAGGUGAAAUUCGUAGAUAUGGGGAGGAACACCGGUGGCGAAGGCGGCAUCCUGGACCGAGAUUGACGCUGAUGCGCGAAAGCCAGGGGAGCAAACGGG